UUAAGCUCUGAGCCGGUUUCUGCAGGCUGCCCCAGGGCUGCUCGGUCCCCCCGCUCCUGUGCCCUGGCCCCAGGGCCUCUACGUGAGUAAGGAGGAUACAACCGGGAGACAGAACGGUAACCAGGGCUUUUUAAUCUCUGCACAGAAAACGCAGAAGGAGCUACAGGAGGCCGCGGCUGGGGCACACUUAGCUGGGGGGGGGGGGGUCUUCGGAGGGUUUUUUCAGACUUCCCUCUAGGUCUCUUAUAUUUAGGGGUACCUGAGAAGCAGGACACUUCUCUAAAACAUGCUGAGUAACAAGGGACACCCAUCACGGAGGAACGGAACCGGAAAGCCCGGCUCAAUCCAAGAGGACACACACAGUGUCCUUCCCCGCGAUUUCGGCAGAGCAGGGGCCAGGACUGGGCUACCUCAGCCUGGGGGACGCACACGGUCCGGGGGGGGGGGGGGGGGGAGGUGGACACGGGAGGGGGCCCCCACA
Long non-coding RNA from Leopardus geoffroyi (Geoffroy's cat), 481 nucleotides. RefSeq lists it as uncharacterized. The transcript is spliced from 3 exons. The record is from RefSeq and is a predicted model, not a curated record. NCBI's taxonomy places the organism in Eukaryota, Metazoa, Chordata, Mammalia, Carnivora, Felidae.